AAGUCGUAACAAGGUUUCCGUAGGUGAACCUGCGGAAGGAUCAUUAACACAAAAUAAUCCAUUUACCUAACCCCAAACAAGAAGUUAAACUUUUGACUUCAUUGUCAUGGUUUCUCUUCUUUCGAAAGAAUUAGUUACCUUGAUGUCUUUUUCUCCCUUUCGAGGAAGAAACUGAUAUCUCAAUUAUUUUAACUUACAAACCCCAUUAACCAAUCAACUCUAUUUUGACUUAGUUAAUUUUUGUAAUUAAAAAAAUAAAAUAAGACACAACUCUUAGCAACGGAUAUCUUGGUUCUCGU
Molecule: unclassified non-coding RNA, 299 nt
Filed under: fungal sp.
Lineage: Eukaryota; Fungi
Description: partial internal transcribed spacer region
Rfam family: Eukaryotic small subunit ribosomal RNA (bases 1-46)
Source: RNAcentral